CACUAUGGCCAUACCAGCCUGAACGCACCCGAGCUCGUGAAGCUAAGCAGGGUCGGGUCUGGUUAGUACUUGGAUGGGUGGGAUUCUCUUAGGAUUAACCAUAGAGUUUUGGGGU
This 115-nucleotide ribosomal RNA is filed under the name Microcebus murinus (gray mouse lemur). The record is from RNAcentral. Lineage: Eukaryota; Metazoa; Chordata; Mammalia; Primates; Cheirogaleidae.